This 253-nucleotide ribosomal RNA is filed under the name uncultured bacterium. RNAcentral's name for it is "partial 16S ribosomal RNA". It matches the Rfam family "Bacterial small subunit ribosomal RNA", at positions 524 to 776 of the family's 1533-position model. The record is from RNAcentral.
UACAGAGGUCUCAAGCGUUGUUCGGAUUCAUUGGGCGUAAAGGGUGCGUAGGCGGCGCGGUAAGUCGGGUGUGAAAUCUCGGAGCUUAACUCCGAAACUGCAUUCGAUACUGCCGUGCUUGAGGACUGGAGAGGAGACUGGAAUUUACGGUGUAGCGGUGAAAUGCGUAGAUAUCGAGAGGAACACCAGUGGCGAAGGCGAGUCUCUGGACGACACCUGACACUGAGGCACGAAAGCUAGGGGAGCAAACAGG